AAACUUCAUAUUUUUCAUAUUGAUAUUCCUUAUGAACUUAGGUACUGCAAAAGGAACUAGCACAGAAUUAUAGUUGGAAAAACAAACAGUUAUAAGUACAUUUUGAUAACAUUUUAUGUUCCUUAUCUUAAUAACUUCACCUUAAUUAAGGAACCCAGGUGAGGUUAUUCCUUCAGAAAGCUAGCUUAAUUCUGCAUUCUUUGAAAAAUAAUACUUCUCAUAACCUCUUCAUUUGUCAAUCCUUCUGGAAUGCUGACCACAACAUCUUGAAGCACCAUCUCGUUGAUGCUUGACACACUUGCGUGAUGAACUUGAAACUCAAGUUCUCUAAGUGCAUCCAUCAAUCUUACAGCUGGAUAAUUAACAUCCGGGGAAUGAACACGGACCAUGGCUUCUGACCCUACAAUCUUUACAUCCACCUCCAUUGCCUUUGCUGCAUAACUUGAGGAAGGAAUCAAAUGAUCAACCAUGUAAUUGGUUGAUUGAUUGUCAUAGACGCUUGUAUUAAUAAUCCUGGAUUUCUUGGACACUGUUUGCAGUUUGCCCUCCAAUUCAUCAACUUUGGCCUUAAGCUCCUUGAUAUAAGUGACUGCGUCUGCAAGAAGAGAUGCUUUAUCCAUCUUGGACACAUUAGGAACCACUGAUCGGAGUGCAUAGAAUCGGUGAUUAAGUCUCUCUCUACGCUGCCUCUCCGCUUCGACAUGGUUUAGAGGCAAUUCUUUGCCAUUUGGUUUUCUUCCCCUUUUCUUGAACUGAUUAGUAAUUGCAGCAAAAUUGCCAUCAGAAUCAGAAGGUCCAGAGUCAGAAGACGAUCGGCCUUGACCAGAACCCGAAGCAUCUUUCUUUUUGUCUACUUCGUUUUGCUUCUCUGGAGAGGUCUCCUUUUGAGAACCUGAAAACAUUCCAAUAUCAAGGAAAGUAGCACCCCGAUCUGUAAUUUGAAGAUGAGAUUCAGGGCUGGGCUGCUUGGAGACCAGGCAGGCGACAUCUGCACCGAAAAGCGAUUUGCACAGUUGCACCAAGCUCCAAUCUUCAUUGACCAUAUGGGAGGAGCCCAAUUCAACAACUCCGCAAGAAGUUGAGAUACAGGCCAAAGUAUGUAUCCCGUGCAUACGAGCCUCUCUAACUCUUUCACACUCAUAUAACUGUAGCUCAUGAUCACCAGUCAACCAAGUGAAACCUCCGGAGGCAAAUGCCUGGCCAAGAACUCCUGCUCCAAUUGCGAAUGAUCGCGUUGCUGAUACGGUAUAGAACCACCCAUAGUCAGCAUCAUCAGCAUCUGCCAAUCUGUCCAUCUCCAUGUCAUCACUAAAAAGAGCUUGGAACUCUUUAGACACCUUCUUUCUUUCAAGAUUGAAACCGAAUUUGUGUUGCUGGUUCUGUUUGUUGCUUGGUUUGAUUGCAAAGUCUUUAGAGCCAUGGAAAUUCCCAUCACCCCAUGAUAAAACAAGGCGGCCACUGGCAUCCUUGGAGGCCUGNNGAGGCCUGCCAGAAGAUGGCGUAGAUCCACCAUCCAGGGCGGCUCUGGAGGAUGACUUGGAGGCGUUGUUGGAGAGGGGGCGAGGAUUCUUGACAAAAAGACAAAAGUGAAGAUGAAGAAGAGGGGGACAUAAUCUCUUCCAUGAAUAUCGUUUCUUGCAGUGUAGUUGUGUAGUUUUUCAACUUCUUGUUUCCUGUAUGUCCUUGGAUACAGAUUUUUCCCAGGGGUUAAAGGCAAAAAGUUUGAGAGAGAUAGAGAUAGAGGGAGAAGGCUGAUGUUAAAGUAGG
RNAcentral lists this unclassified non-coding RNA (1767 nucleotides) under Hevea brasiliensis (rubber tree). Lineage: Eukaryota; Viridiplantae; Streptophyta; Magnoliopsida; Malpighiales; Euphorbiaceae. The record is from RNAcentral.